RNAcentral lists this ribosomal RNA (247 nucleotides) under uncultured Lactobacillus sp. RNAcentral describes it as "partial 16S ribosomal RNA". It matches the Rfam family "Bacterial small subunit ribosomal RNA", at positions 116 to 355 of the family's 1533-position model. The record is from RNAcentral. Lineage: Bacteria; Bacillati; Bacillota; Bacilli; Lactobacillales; Lactobacillaceae.
CGUGGGGAACCUGCCCCAUAGUCUGGGAUACCACUUGGAAACAGGUGCUAAUACCGGAUAAGAAAGCAGAUCGCAUGAUCAGCUUUUAAAAGGCGGCGUAAGCUGUCGCUAUGGGAUGGCCCCGCGGUGCAUUAGCUAGUUGGUAAGGUAAAGGCUUACCAAGGCGAUGAUGCAUAGCCGAGUUGAGAGACUGAUCGGCCACAAUGGAACUGAGACACGGUCCAAACUCCUACGGGAGGCAGCAGCC